Molecule: ribosomal RNA, 253 nt
Filed under: uncultured bacterium
Lineage: Bacteria
Description: partial 16S ribosomal RNA
Rfam family: Bacterial small subunit ribosomal RNA
Source: RNAcentral
UACAGGGGGGGCAAGCGUUGUUCGGAAUUACUGGGCGUAAAGGGUCUGUAGGUGGCUUGCUAAGUCAGACGUGAAAUCCCUCAGCUUAACUGGGGAACUGCGUCUGAUACUGGCAAGCUUGAGUGCAGGAGAGGAACGCGGAAUUCCAGGUGUAGCGGUGAAAUGCGUAGAUAUCAGGAAGAACACCAAUGGCGAAAGCAGCUUUCUGGGACGGUACUGACGCUGAGACGCGAAAGCGUGGGGAGCGAACAGG